CCUGAAACUGUCGAGCCGUAGCGACCCGUCACACAACAUGACAACAAUCUAACGUGCAAUUCUGUGGACAAAACCGCCUGUUUGGACGUAUUUAUAGGCUUAGUGGACGUAAAGGACGGCAUAUCUGACUAAAGAGGAAGGCUCAGGAGUGACAGACUUUUAGCAUUCAGAGGACGAGAGGAGGCAGACAGGUCAGCACUAACGACAGAGGACACCCUGCACCCUACACUCUGGAGCUCUUAUUCUGGGCUGACUGGCAAACACGGGUGUGGCUCGGUGUCUGGAGCUGCUGCUGACCUCAGCCCUGCUGUCAUGGCCUCAGCCCUCACACCAUGCAGAAAGCACCCCUCCUAACCCUCAUACCUCACACACACUCGCACCACACACCACCACACACACGCGCAGCCAUGAUGACCACCUCCCACAUGAACGGAUAUGUGACCGAGUCAGAUGGCGGGGGAGGUACUGACAUCCUGGAGGAGGUGGUGCAGAGGCACAGGGAGAUGGCGGUGGACUGCCCUAGUGAGCUGGGUGCCCGCACUCUGCCCGUCAGACGCAGCGCUCAGCUGGAAAAGAUCCGCCAGCAGCAGGAGGACCGCAGAAGACGAGAAGAGGAGGGCCGCAGCCGGCAGGAGCUCGACCUCAACUCAUCAAUGCGCCUCAAGAAACUCUCCCAGAACCCAAAGGUGGGCAUUGAUAACCCCACCUUUGAGCAAAUGGAAGGUCCUGGUGGCUCCAUAGGUGGUCUACAGAGCCUCAUCGCACCACCAGCUUUACUAGAGCUGGAGGACCUGUUGAUGUCCCUCAAGCAGGUACAGCAUAAUUUGAAUGACUCUCAAAGUCAAGAGGACGUGGAGCUGGUUCUACAGCUGGUCCAGAAGCCUGACUUCCAGAAAGCCUUCAGCAUUCACAACUCUGUGGCCCACUAUAUGAACCGGCCCAGCCCCCCCUACCCCCUGACGGAUCACGCACAGACCCUCGCUCAAGAGGUCGAGGUCAUGGUGCACAACAGCUCACACAAGGAAGGACUUGAGCUAAGCAGCCUGCUCUCAGCGUCCCACAUGCAGGCGCUCAUGAUGGCACAUGACAGUGUGGCUGAACAAGAGAUGCAGCUGGAGCCCCUUGUUCCUUCUGUCAAUGCAAGCGAGACUCUCACCCAGUGGGGAGGAGAGACUGUCAAAAUCGUACGGAUUGAAAAAGCCAAGGACAUCCCAUUGGGAGCGACUGUUAGAAAUGAUAUGGACAGUGUGGUCAUCAGCCGGAUCGUAAAAGGUGGAGCGGCAGAACGCAGCGGCCUGCUGCACGAAGGAGACGAGAUCCUGGAGAUCAAUGGUGUGGAAAUCCGUGGCAAAGAUGUCAAUGAAGUCUUCGACAUCCUGGCGGACAUGCAUGGUGUACUGUCUUUUGUUCUCAUCCCCAGCGCACAGAUCAAACCUCCUCCCAUUAAAGAGACUGUGGUACAUGUGAAGGCACAUUUUGACUACGACCCUUCAGAUGACCCAUAUGUGCCAUGCCGAGAGCUCGGCCUGUGCUUUCAGAAGGGAGAUAUUCUUCACAUAAUCAGCCAAGACGACCCCAACUGGUGGCAGGCCUACAGAGAUGGGGAUGAAGACAACCAGCCUCUUGCUGGCCUCGUCCCUGGCAAAAGCUUUCAGCAGCAGAGAGAGGCAAUGAAGCAAACCAUAGAAGAGGAUAAAGAGCCUGAAAAAUCAGGAAAGCUUUGGUGUGCUAAAAAGACCAAGAAGAAGCGGAAGAAGAUGCAAUACAAUGCUAACAAAAAUGAUGACUUUGAUAAUGAGGAGAUUCUCACAUAUGAAGAGAUGGCACUUUACCACCAACCAGCCAAUCGUAAGCGGCCCAUUGCUCUAAUCGGCCCACCGAACUGUGGGCAAAAUGAGCUCAGACAAAGACUCCUCUCCACUGAGCCGGACAGGUUUGCUGGCGCUGUUCCUCACACCACACGGAGUCGACGUGACGCUGAGGCGAACGGCCGCGACUACCACUUUGUGUCCCGCCAGGCCUUCGAGAUGGACUCUGCAGCAGGGAAGUUUAUAGAGUCCGGAGAGUUUGAAAAGAACCUCUACGGCACCAGCACAGACUCUGUCCGACAAGUCAUCAACACAGGCAAAAUCUGCCUCCUCUGUGUACACACUCAGUCUUUGAAGGUGUUGCGCAGCUCGGACCUCAAGCCCUACAUCAUCUUCAUUGCUCCUCCAUCCCAAGAGCGAUUGAGAGCCCUCUUAGCUAAAGACAACAAAAACCCAAAGCCCGAGGAGCUGCGAGACAUCAUCGAGAAGGCUCGAGAGAUGGAGCAGAACUACGGCCACCUGUUCGAUGCUGCCAUUGUGAACACCGACCUGGACAAAGCCUACCAGGAGCUGCUGCGUCUCAUCAAUAAACUAGACACUGAACCCCAGUGGGUCCCUUCAUCCUGGCUGCGCUGAGAUUGGUGAAAAUGAAGAGCACAUUGUUUAUCAAUGCUUUAGAAUGCCGCUGUUUUUUGUUUUUCUUCCACAGACAUAGAUAAGGACACUAUACACGCCCUCAACCCCGCACAGAAGUGUCUGUCUGCACUACGCUGUCGGCAGGCUGAGGGAAUGAGAGUUUUAAUGUCAAAAUGUGUGUGUUUUCGAGUCCGCUUAUCCACAUUCCAGUGAGAAAGUUACCAGCACUUGGUGCAGCAGUAGAAUUAGGGCUUCUAUACUGCUUUUGAUAACUAUUUAUGAUUGUAAAUAUUCUAAAUGUAUUUUAAAAGAUGGAUUUGGACAAAUGCAGAGGUGGGAGAAGUUAGCUAGAAUCAGCAUUUUUAAAGAGAUCUAGUCAGACUCCAGAACGGACAUUAUUAGACGUUCGUACACUCUGUUCUCUUCUCUUUCAUCCUUAACCUCUACAAUGUUACAAGAGCAUCCUGCGUCUGAACAACUCUUCCAAGACACUAAAUGGGAUGAAAGUGGAAGCGAGCGAUGCCUUUUUGUCCCUCAGUGUUAUGGCGAAGCAGCACUGCGAUUGUGACAGUGAGAGUUUAAAUACAAAUAAACUUCAGGUUUUCUUCCAGAGUUUGCGAGGCCACAUCUGAACAUAGCUGCGAAGUGGCUCAGUGUGUAAUAUUUCCAGGACAUGUUUCGUGGGACUCUCCUAUUGAUUUUCCUUGACUUUGGAUGAUAAAAAAUAUGAAAAAUCUGCUCCAUGUUGAGAUGAGAUGUGCGAUUGCUUGUGAGUGCAUGGUUUUGGGCUACAUUUGCCCCAUUAGUGCAAAUGCUGGAAGUAUGAAACACUUGACAUUGAUGAACAGAAGCUCUGUAUGUGUGUAUGUGUGUGUGUGAGAGAUCUCUUUUAAAGGAAGGACUGUCAGUGAUUGCAGGCAAGUAUUAUCUCCACAGCUGCUUCAAGCACACACUAGAAACAGCUUUAUUGAGAUUUGUUCUGCAGAACUGUUUUUACUAUUUGUUUUUGUUUUUUUCUUUAAGAUAAUCAAUGUGUAUUUAGAAAGCAACCUGAAUAUUUUUUUAAUGUACAGAAAUAGCUCAGCCAUUAGUUUUGACUCUUGUGCACUACAGUUUGGUUUGUUCUGAGUGUGGACGGAGUGACACCUCAGUCUCAUGUUGAUCUAGUUACACGCCAGGCGACUGGAAGUAGAAGUAAUGAAUGUAAAAGAAAAAUCAUCUUUCCUUCUCCACUGUUUUUUUGUUUUGUAUGAAUUAUUCAAGUGAAUUAAAGCCCAGAUUAAUAGA
Molecule: RNA transcript, 3731 nt
Organism: Danio aesculapii
Lineage: Eukaryota; Metazoa; Chordata; Actinopteri; Cypriniformes; Danionidae
Gene: pals1a
Gene name: protein associated with LIN7 1, MAGUK p55 family member a
Exons: 16
Source: RefSeq, a predicted model, not a curated record